UCUUCCGGGAUAGGUAGUAGUUAAGGUGAUGGCUUAACUAGCCAAAAACUCUCGUAGUCGAAGCUGAAAGGUUGAUCGACCACAUUGGGUCUGAAAAAACCCCAAUGCAAGUUAGUACAGCAGUGAGGAAUCUUGGUCAAUGGCCUAACGGCUGAACUGGCAACUUGGAGAAGUGGCAAGUCUUAUUUUGAUUAUAUUACAAUAUAUAAUCUAUAAGAUUGUAUUAAAAUUGAAUAAAGCUUUGUUUAUAUAUUGAUAAUGACAGUAUAUAUAUCGUGUCUUGACUAAUUACGUGCCAGCAGUCGCGGUAAUACGUAAGAGACUAGUGUUAUUCAUCUUGAUUAGGUUUAAAGGGUACCUAGACGGUCAAUAUAUCUUCUAAAAUGUUAGUACUUGACUAGAGUUUGAUAUAAGAGGGCAGUACUUGAGGAGGAGAGAUGAAAUUCUAUUAUACCAAAGGGACUCGGUAAAGGCGAAGGCAGCCCUCUAUGUAAAAACUGACGUUGAAGGACGAAGGCACAGAGCACAAACAGGAUUAGAUACCCAAGUAGUCUUUGCAGUAAAUGAUGAAUGCCAUAGGUUAGAUUAA
RNAcentral lists this ribosomal RNA (589 nucleotides) under Aschersonia andropogonis. RNAcentral describes it as "SSU rRNA". It matches the Rfam family "Bacterial small subunit ribosomal RNA", at positions 232 to 831 of the family's 1533-position model. The record is from RNAcentral. Lineage: Eukaryota; Fungi; Ascomycota; Sordariomycetes; Hypocreales; Clavicipitaceae.